Molecule: non-coding RNA, 200 nt
Filed under: Brevibacillus sp.
Lineage: Bacteria; Bacillati; Bacillota; Bacilli; Caryophanales; Paenibacillaceae
Source: RNAcentral
UAAAUACGUGUACAAACAGGUGCAGAUAAAUUCACCAUCUUUUAUCUGCUUAAAAGGGAAGUUCGGUUAGAAUCCGACGCUGUCCCGCAACUGUAAUUGGGAGCGAUUCGAAGAUGCCACUGUUUUCGCCAGCCGAAAAUGGGAAGGUUCGAAAAGCGAUGAACAUAAGCCAGGAGACCUGCCUGUUUGAGCACAACAUC